GCUUGUGACUCAGUGGUAGAGUGCUUGCCUAGCAUGUGUGAGGCACUGGGUUCGAUUCUCAGCACUGCA
Molecule: transfer RNA, 69 nt
Filed under: Marmota monax (woodchuck)
Lineage: Eukaryota; Metazoa; Chordata; Mammalia; Rodentia; Sciuridae
Description: tRNA.Ala
Rfam family: tRNA (bases 4-64)
About the family: Transfer RNA (tRNA) molecules are approximately 80 nucleotides in length.
Source: RNAcentral